AGCAGUCGCCGCGGGAAUACGUAGGGUGCGAGCGUUAAUCGGAAUUACUGGGCGUAAAGCGUGCGCAGGCGGUUGUGUAAGACAGGUGUGAAAUCCCCGGGCUUAACCUGGGAACUGCGCUUGUGACUGCACAGCUAGAGUAUGGCAGAGGGGGGUGGAAUUCCACGUGUAGCAGUGAAAUGCGUAGAGAUGUGGAGGAACACCGAUGGCGAAGGCAGCCCCCUGGGCCAAUACUGACGCUCAUGCACGAAAGCGUGGGGAGCAAACAGGAUUAGAUACCCGAGUAGUCCCUGUCUCUUAUAC
RNAcentral lists this ribosomal RNA (303 nucleotides) under uncultured bacterium. RNAcentral's name for it is "partial 16S ribosomal RNA". It matches the Rfam family "Bacterial small subunit ribosomal RNA", at positions 507 to 807 of the family's 1533-position model. The record is from RNAcentral.